UGGGGAAUAUUGCACAAUGGGCGCAAGCCUGAUGCAGCCAUGCCGCGUGUGUGAAGAAGGCCUUCGGGUUGUAAAGCACUUUCAGCGGGGAGGAAGGCGAUAAGGUUAAUAACCUUGUCGAUUGACGUUACCCGCAGAAGAAGCACCGGCUAACUCCGUGCCAGCAGCCGCGGUAAUACGGAGGGUGCAAGCGUUAAUCGGAAUUACUGGGCGUAAAGCGCACGCAGGCGGUCUGUCAAGUCGGAUGUGAAAUCCCCGGGCUUAACCUGGGAACUGCAUUCGAAACUGGCAGGCUAGAGUCGUGUAGAGGGGGGUAGAAUUCCAGGUGUAGCGGUGAAAUGCGUAGAGAUCUGGAAGAAUACCGGUGGCGAAGGCGGCCCCCUGGACAAAGACUGACGCUCAAGUGCGAAAGCGUGGGGAGCAAACAGG
Molecule: ribosomal RNA, 429 nt
Filed under: Chloroflexota bacterium
Lineage: Bacteria; Bacillati; Chloroflexota
Description: Chloroflexi bacterium partial 16S ribosomal RNA
Rfam family: Bacterial small subunit ribosomal RNA
Source: RNAcentral